Capsicum annuum is the source of this 1195-nucleotide long non-coding RNA. RefSeq lists it as uncharacterized. The transcript has 3 exons. The record is from RefSeq and is a predicted model, not a curated record. NCBI's taxonomy places the organism in Eukaryota, Viridiplantae, Streptophyta, Magnoliopsida, Solanales, Solanaceae.
GGCGGGGUUGGACUCUCUUUUUGCUUGAGCUUAAGCGUCAAAUCUGAGCCUCUAUUUUCUGGAUUCCAUUACUGUAAGAAGGCCAAUAAACCUUUUGUAAAUUUUAGGGGACGGAGUAUAACAGCUUUAGGGUACUAUAUAAACAAAAGUUCCAGGAAAUGACUAAUGCAAAAGCUCAGAGGGGAAAGAAUAGGGCUACAGAGAGAUUUGAUGGUUUUUGUUGCAAGGGUGGUUGCCUCUCUCUGAAUCAGCCAAUGAUUUCUCCAUCACUGUAAGAAUCCCAACAACACUUUUAUCAAUUUUGAAACAGAGUUAACAGCUCGUUUGGAGGGUUGUUACAUAUCGUUUCAAAGGGUUUCUGUGCCCUUCAACUCUUUUUUUAUUCUUUUUUUUAUGCUUCUGCUGGAGCAUUGGAUGUUGCCGGUGGAAGUGAUGAUGGUGAGUAUAAUUGGAUUACUUGAGAGAGGCAAUGAUGAUUUUUACCAAUUUUUAUUCCCUUAUGAGCUGAUUUAUUAGGUAUUUGAGGUUAUCCGAUCCGUGUCUUGGCGGGGCAUGCCACCAACUUUUCUGGUGGCUUUUGCAGCCAUGGCAUGGUCGGACUCUCUUCUUACCUGAGGUUUGCACCGAUCUGAGCCUCACUUUCCAUGUCAGUUUAGGGAAAUGAACAAAGCAAAAGCUCGAAAGAGGAAGAAUGAGGCCAUGGAGAGUAGCGAUUCUUCAUUCAAAGGGUCGUUGCUGCUCUCUGCAUCAGCCGGUGAUUUCUGCAUUACUGUAAGAAACCCAGCAAUGCUUUUAUCAAUUUUAACAGAUGGAGGAGUAUAUUAUUAACAGACCUUCGGCAGGCUCGCUUGCAUGGUUGUUACAUAUCGUUUCAAAGGAUUUUUAUACCCUCCCAACUCUUUUUUUCAAAUGCUUCCACUGGAGCAAUUGAAUGUUGCUGGUGUGAGCGGUGGAAGCGAUGGUGGUGAGUAUAAUCAGAAUGCUUGAAAGAGGGAAGCAAAUGGGUAGGAAAAUGAUCAAAGCAAAAGUCAUAAGGGAAAGAAUGAGGCUACAGAGAGUUGAAGAUUUUCAUUGAAAGGGUGGUUGCAUCUUUCUGUAUUCAGUCAAUGAAGCCAAUGAUUUCUCCAUUACUGUAAGAAUCCCUACAACCCUUUUACCAAGUUUAAGAGGGAAUAAUAUUUAACAACAUUUUGGA